UACGGGGGGGGCAAGCGUUGUUCGGAAUUACUGGGCGUAAAGGGCUCGUAGGCGGCCAACUAAGUCAGACGUGAAAUCCCUCGGCUUAACCGGGGAACUGCCUCUGAUACUGGAUGGCUAGAGGUUGGGAGAGGGAUGCGGAAUUCCAGGUGUAGCGGUGAAAUGCGUAGAUAUCUGGAGGAAUACCGGUGGCGAAGGCGGCAUCCUGGACCGGCAUUGACGCUGAGGAGCGAAAGCCAGGGGAGCAAACGGG
This 253-nucleotide ribosomal RNA is filed under the name uncultured bacterium. Its description in RNAcentral is "partial 16S ribosomal RNA". It matches the Rfam family "Bacterial small subunit ribosomal RNA", at positions 524 to 776 of the family's 1533-position model. The record is from RNAcentral.